AGUGAACGCUGGCGGUGUGCUUAACACAUGCAAGUCGAACGAGAACGGACUAAAGUUUACUUUAGUUGUCAGCUAAGUGGCGCACGGGUGAGUAAUCUAUAGCUAACCUACCCUAAAGAGGGGGAUAAUUAAUGGAAACGUUUGUAAUACCCUAUACCUCUUAUCUACACAAGUGUAUAAGAGAAAACUUUAAGUGCUUUAGGUAUGGGCGUGUAUUGUAUCAGCUAGUUGGUGGUGGUAAUAGGACCGACCCAAGGACGUAUGACGCAUAACUAGGUUUGUAGAGGAUGAUCAGUCACACUGGAACUAGAGACACGGUCCACGACUCCUACGGGGAGGGCAGCAGUGGGGAAGUAAUUGCACAAUGGGGGAAACCCGUACGAUGCAGCAACACCGCGUGGAGGAAGACACUUUUCGGAGCGUAAACUCCUUUUAUAUCCCAAGAUAAUGACGGUAGGAUAUGAAUAAGCACCGGCUAACUCCGUGCCAGCAGCCGCGGUAAUU
This 504-nucleotide ribosomal RNA is filed under the name uncultured bacterium. RNAcentral's name for it is "bacterial SSU rRNA". It matches the Rfam family "Bacterial small subunit ribosomal RNA", at positions 29 to 525 of the family's 1533-position model. The record is from RNAcentral.